RNAcentral lists this ribosomal RNA (428 nucleotides) under uncultured Parvibaculum sp. RNAcentral's name for it is "bacterial SSU rRNA". It matches the Rfam family "Bacterial small subunit ribosomal RNA", at positions 477 to 905 of the family's 1533-position model. Lineage: Bacteria; Pseudomonadati; Pseudomonadota; Alphaproteobacteria; Hyphomicrobiales; Parvibaculaceae. The record is from RNAcentral.
AGCCGGAGAAGAAGCCCCGGCUAACUCCGUGCCAGCAGCCGCGGUAAUACGGAGGGGGCUAGCGUUGUUCGGAAUUACUGGGCGUAAAGCGCACGUAGGCGGGUAUCCAAGUUGGGGGUGAAAUCCCGGGGCUCAACCCCGGAACUGCCUCCAAAACUGGGUACCUAGAGUCCGAGAGAGGUGAGUGGAAUUCCCAGUGUAGAGGUGAAAUUCGUAGAUAUUGGGAAGAACACCAGUGGCGAAGGCGGCUCACUGGCUCGGUACUGACGCUGAGGUGCGACAGCGUGGGGAGCAAACAGGAUUAGAUACCCUGGUAGUCCACGCCGUAAACGAUGAGAGCUAGUUGUCGGGCAGCAUGCUGUUCGGUGACGCAGCUAACGCAUUAAGCUCUCCGCCUGGGGAGUACGGUCGCAAGAUUAAAACUCAAA